RNAcentral lists this unclassified non-coding RNA (315 nucleotides) under Microlicia belinelloi. RNAcentral describes it as "Lavoisiera belinelloi partial contains external transcribed spacer and 18S ribosomal RNA". Lineage: Eukaryota; Viridiplantae; Streptophyta; Magnoliopsida; Myrtales; Melastomataceae. The record is from RNAcentral.
GGUAGUCGAAUGGCCUUUGGUCCCCGUCUAGGUUCCCUCGAUUCUCCUUCGCCUCGUUUGCGGUGGUGAAUACCGUGCGGGCGUCUACGUUUUCCAUCCGAGCCCUUGUCCCCGUCUUGGCGCUUCUUCUCGUGAUGGUGCGUGGAUGCUUCCGUCACGCCCUUGGGUACGGAUGAUUCGUUGGUAUUCUCGCUGCGGUCUUUGCCGUCCGGAGCGAGAUCCCGAUGUGUCGAAGCAUCAACGCUUCUGCCCGCGUGACCCUCGUGCCCGCGUAGGCUGUCGUGGGGACUCCUCCGUCCCGCGUUCGGCUUGCGU